CCUACGGGAGGCAGCAGUGAGGAAUAUUGGUCAAUGGGCGGGAGCCUGAACCAGCCAAGUCGCGUGAAGGAAGAAGGUACUUAGUAUUGUAAACUUCUUUUGUCGGGGAACAAAGGCGGAGACGCGUCGCCUUAUGAGUGUACCCGAAGAAAAAGCAUCGGCUAACUCCGUGCCAGCAGCCGCGGUAAUACGGAGGAUGCGAGCGUUAUCCGGAUUUAUUGGGUUUAAAGGGUGCGUAGGCGGAGCGUUAAGUCAGUGGUAAAAUUGAGGGGCUCAACCCCUUCGAGCCAUUGAAACUGGGGUUCUUGAGUGAACGAGAAGUAUGCGGAAUGCGUGGUGUAGCGGUGAAAUGCAUAGAUAUCACGCAGAACCCCGAUUGCGAAGGCAGCAUGCCGGCUUUCUACUGACGCUGAUGCACGAAAGCGUGGGGAUCGAACAGGAUUAGAUACCCUUGUAGUC
Molecule: ribosomal RNA, 459 nt
Filed under: uncultured bacterium
Lineage: Bacteria
Description: partial 16S ribosomal RNA
Rfam family: Bacterial small subunit ribosomal RNA
Source: RNAcentral